This is a non-coding RNA of Pelobates cultripes (western spadefoot toad), 454 nucleotides long. NCBI's taxonomy places the organism in Eukaryota, Metazoa, Chordata, Amphibia, Anura, Pelobatidae. The record is from the annotation of a GenBank genome assembly.
GUGCUGUAGUGCUCUCUCCUCCGUGAUUAUAAAUACCCUUCUGAAUUGUUCUUCAAGCUUUCCCAGCUGUGUAGCUUCCUAUUUCCGGCACGGCAUAUCCGCGUCAUCACAUUGCGCCCGUUUACGUGAAGUGAUUACGUCACUUCCGGUACCUCGUUCAUUGAAGUGAGGGCACGUUCAAUACAGUCCCAUGUUGAAUGCGGGCAAAUGAACUUAAAACAUAGUCUGGAUAUACAUAGUAGAAUAGGGGAAAGAAACAAAUAAGUAUUUUGCAAUGAUAGAUGAAGUAAUCAAUAAGUCACAUAAUAUACAAAGAAGACUAAAAGACUCUAAGACAACUGCUAACAAUAUAUAUGAUAAGAACUUUAACACGGUGGCGUUUCCCCUACACUGCAUGGAUCUAAGCACUAUUUGGAGAACUUAGGCGGACAGAUAAAGGCUAUUUGAGGAUGUA